RNAcentral lists this ribosomal RNA (301 nucleotides) under uncultured bacterium. RNAcentral's name for it is "partial 16S ribosomal RNA". It matches the Rfam family "Bacterial small subunit ribosomal RNA", at positions 509 to 807 of the family's 1533-position model. The record is from RNAcentral.
CAGCAGCCGCGGGAAUACGAAGGGUGCAAGCGUUACUCGGAAUUACUGGGCGUAAAGCGUGCGUAGGUGGUGGUUUAAGUCCGUUGUGAAAGCCCUGGGCUCAACCUGGGAAUUGCAGUGGAUACUGGGUCACUAGAGUGUGGUAGAGAAUAGUGGAAUUUCCGGUGUAGCAGUGAAAUGCGUAGAGAUCGGAAGGAACAUCUGUGGCGAAGGCGACUAUCUGGGCCAACACUGACACUGAGGCACGAAAGCGUGGGGAGCAAACAGGAUUAGAUACCCCAGUAGUCCCUGUCUCUUAUAC